GGUGAGAGUAGCUCAGCGGUAGAGCGCUGGUUUGUGGGACCAGAGGCCGAGAGUUCAAGCCUCUUCUCUCCCC
This 73-nucleotide transfer RNA is filed under the name Aplysina fulva (scattered pore rope sponge). Its description in RNAcentral is "tRNA-His". It matches the Rfam family "tRNA". Rfam says of the family: Transfer RNA (tRNA) molecules are approximately 80 nucleotides in length. Lineage: Eukaryota; Metazoa; Porifera; Demospongiae; Verongiida; Aplysinidae. The record is from RNAcentral.